GGCGGGAAGAGAGAGACGACAGGGAGAGGGUUAGCACUUUUGCAGAUGGCAGUCAAGCUCCAUGCCAUCCAGGACCUCUAUACCAGGCGGUAUCAGAGGAAGGCCCUAAAAACGGUCAAAGACUCCUGCCACCCAAGUCAUAGACUAUUCUCCCUGCUACCGCACGGCAAGAAGUACCAGAGUGCCGAAUCUGGAACCAAAAGUCUCCUGAACAGCUUCUACCCCAAAGCCAUAAGAUUGCUGAACAAUUAAUGAAAUGGCAACCCAGGACAAUUUGAAUUGAACCCCUUUUUUUUGCACAGACUCUACACACAAACUCAUACAUACAGUGCCCUCCUAAAAUAUUGGAACAAAUAUGCAUUUUGUUUUGGCUCUGUACUCCAGCACUUUGGAUUUGAAAAGAUACCAUGACCAUGAUGUUAAAGUGCAGAAUGUCAACUUUAAUUUGAGAUUAUUUUCAUCCAUAUCAUUUGAAUUGUUUAGAAAUUACAGCACCUUGUGUACAUGGUCCCCCCCAUUUUAGGGGACCGAAAGUAUUGGGACAAACUCACUUAUGUGUAUUAAAGUAGUAGAAAGUUAAGUAUUUCGUCCCAUAUUCAUAGCGUGCAAUGAUUACAUCAAGAUUGUGACUCUACAAAUUGGUAGGAUGCAUUUGCUGUUUGUUUUGGUUGUGUUUCAGAUGAUUUUGUGCCAAAUAGAAAUGUUUCCGAA
This is a long non-coding RNA of Oncorhynchus masou masou (cherry salmon), 711 nucleotides long. RefSeq lists it as uncharacterized. Lineage: Eukaryota; Metazoa; Chordata; Actinopteri; Salmoniformes; Salmonidae. The transcript is spliced from 2 exons. The record is from RefSeq and is a predicted model, not a curated record.